CCUACGGGAGGCAGCAGUGGGGAAUCUUGCGCAAUGGGCGAAAGCCUGACGCAGCCAUGCCGCGUGAAUGAUGAAGGUCUUAGGAUUGUAAAAUUCUUUCACCGGGGACGAUAAUGACGGUACCCGGAGAAGAAGCCCCGGCUAACUUCGUGCCAGCAGCCGCGGUAAUACGAAGGGGGCUAGCGUUGCUCGGAAUUACUGGGCGUAAAGGGAGCGUAGGCGGAUAGUUUAGUCAGAGGUGAAAGCCCAGGGCUCAACCUUGGAAUUGCCUUUGAUACUGGCUAUCUUGAGUACGGAAGAGGUAUGUGGAACUCCGAGUGUAGAGGUGAAAUUCGUAGAUAUUCGGAAGAACACCAGUGGCGAAGGCGACAUACUGGUCCGUUAACUGACGCUGAGGCUCGAAAGCGUGGGGAGCAAACAGGAUUAGAUACCCUGGUAGUCCACGCUGUAAACGAUGAGUGNUAGUGUCGGCAUGCAUGCAUGUCGGUGACGCG
This 494-nucleotide ribosomal RNA is filed under the name uncultured bacterium. RNAcentral describes it as "bacterial SSU rRNA". It matches the Rfam family "Bacterial small subunit ribosomal RNA", at positions 338 to 850 of the family's 1533-position model. The record is from RNAcentral.